RNAcentral lists this ribosomal RNA (370 nucleotides) under uncultured organism. RNAcentral describes it as "bacterial SSU rRNA". It matches the Rfam family "Bacterial small subunit ribosomal RNA", at positions 526 to 896 of the family's 1533-position model. The record is from RNAcentral.
CGUAGGUGGCAAGCGUUAUCCGGAUUUACUGGGUGUAAAGGGCGCGUAGGCGGGAGAACAAGUCAGACGUGAAAUGUGGGGCUUAACCCUCAAGCUGCAUUUGAAACUGUACUUCUUGAGUAUCGGAGAGGCAGGCGGAAUUCCUAGUGUAGCGGUGAAAUGCGUAGAUAUUAGGAGGAACACCAGUGGCGAAGGCGGCCUGCUGGACGACAACUGACGCUGAGGCGCGAAAGCGUGGGGAGCAAACAGGAUUAGAUACCCUGGUAGUCCACGCUGUAAACGAUGAAUACUAGGUGUGGGGGGACUAACCCCCUCCGUGCCGCAGUUAACACAAUAAGUAUUCCACCUGGGGAGUACGGCCGCAAGGUUG